Long non-coding RNA from Aptenodytes forsteri (emperor penguin), 608 nucleotides. RefSeq lists it as uncharacterized. Lineage: Eukaryota; Metazoa; Chordata; Aves; Sphenisciformes; Spheniscidae. The record is from RefSeq and is a predicted model, not a curated record. The transcript has 4 exons.
GUCUGUCUUCAGCCUGGCAGAAGACAAAGGGUGAAGUGAAAAAGGUUGCGCCUUGAAAAAUCAAGGAGAAAGCCGUGUGACGUGGCAGACUGGGGAGCUCUUCUCAAAGACCUGAGUUACUUUGGAGAACAGAACUGAGUUCUGGAACUUGCUGCAAAUGUUGAAGAUCAUGCCUUGAGUUUUAGAAUUUCUAGCAAACCUGGCUACAGCAAAAGAAAUGGUUGGCAGUGGCUGCAUUUGAAGAUUCCUAAAAGUUCGUCUUUUCUCACACGUGGGUUCAAGCACACCACAGCCAGUGAAAGUGCAUGCGAUGCUGCUUGCGGUUCUGAAUAUUUGCUGCAAUAUGUGCUGCAACCUGUGCACUCAAAUGUCAGUUUAGAAAAAAAAAUGAGUUGUUCUGCUCCAAGUGUCCUUUCUGCUUUUGCUGUACUGUUGAAUAGCCGUAAGAGUUGUAAUCUUGCCCUUCUCCGGCUCGGCUCGGCUCGCACGCUGUUUUCACAGCCGUAUGCUAAAGCACUGCUGUUUCAACCCAUGUUUUCGCUACAUGGUUAAGGAGGACUUUAAAAAAACCAAAACCUAAAUAAAGAUGCCACCUACAGUAAGUCUGA